AAAUUGAAGAGUUUGAUCAUGGCUCAGAUUGAACGCUGGCGGCAGGCCUAACACAUGCAAGUCGAACGGUAACAGGAAGCAGCUUGCUGCUUUGCUGACGAGUGGCGGACGGGUGAGUAAUGUCUGGGAAACUGCCUGAUGGAGGGGGAUAACUACUGGAAACGGUGGCUAAUACCGCAUAACGUCGCAAGACCAAAGAGGGGGACCUUCGGGCCUCUUGCCAUCAGAUGUGCCCAGAUGGGAUUAGCUUGUUGGUGAGGUAACGGCUCACCAAGGCGACGAUCCCUAGCUGGUCUGAGAGGAUGACCAGCCACACUGGAACUGAGACACGGUCCAGACUCCUACGGGAGGCAGCAGUGGGGAAUAUUGCACAAUGGGCGCAAGCCUGAUGCAGCCAUGCCGCGUGUAUGAAGAAGGCCUUCGGGUUGUAAAGUACUUUCAGCGGGGAGGAAGGUGUUGUGGUUAAUAACCGCAGCAAUUGACGUUACCCGCAGAAGAAGCACCGGCUAACUCCGUGCCAGCAGCCGCGGUAAUACGGAGGGUGCAAGCGUUAAUCGGAAUUACUGGGCGUAAAGCGCACGCAGGCGGUCUGUCAAGUCGGAUGUGAAAUCCCCGGGCUCAACCUGGGAACUGCAUUCGAAACUGGCAGGCUUGAGUCUUGUAGAGGGGGGUAGAAUUCCAGGUGUAGCGGUGAAAUGCGUAGAGAUCUGGAGGAAUACCGGUGGCGAAGGCGGCCCCCUGGACAAAGACUGACGCUCAGGUGCGAAAGCGUGGGGAGCAAACAGGAUUAGAUACCCUGGUAGUCCACGCCGUAAACGAUGUCUACUUGGAGGUUGUGCCCUUGAGGCGUGGCUUCCGGAGCUAACGCGUUAAGUAGACCGCCUGGGGAGUACGGCCGCAAGGUUAAAACUCAAAUGAAUUGACGGGGGCCCGCACAAGCGGUGGAGUAUGUGGUUUAAUUCGAUGCAACGCGAAGAACCUUACCUGGUCUUGACAUCCACAGAAGAAUCCAGAGAUGGAUUUGUGCCUUCGGGAACUGUGAGACAGGUGCUGCAUGGCUGUCGUCAGCUCGUGUUGUGAAAUGUUGGGUUAAGUCCCGCAACGAGCGCAACCCUUAUCCUUUGUUGCCAGCGAUUAGGUCGGGAACUCAAAGGAGACUGCCAGUGAUAAACUGGAGGAAGGUGGGGAUGACGUCAAGUCAUCAUGGCCCUUACGACCAGGGCUACACACGUGCUACAAUGGCGCAUACAAAGAGAAGCGACCUCGCGAGAGCAAGCGGACCUCAUAAAGUGCGUCGUAGUCCGGAUUGGAGUCUGCAACUCGACUCCAUGAAGUCGGAAUCGCUAGUAAUCGUGGAUCAGAAUGCCACGGUGAAUACGUUCCCGGGCCUUGUACACACCGCCCGUCACACCAUGGGAGUGGGUUGCAAAAGAAGUAGGUAGCUUAACCUUCGGGAGGGCGCUUACCACUUUGUGAUUCAUGACUGGGGUGAAGUCGUAACAAGGUAACCGUAGGGGAACCUGCGGUUGGAUCACCUCCUUA
This 1542-nucleotide ribosomal RNA is filed under the name Salmonella enterica subsp. enterica serovar Gallinarum. Its description in RNAcentral is "bacterial SSU rRNA". It matches the Rfam family "Bacterial small subunit ribosomal RNA". RNAcentral also lists the same sequence under 32 other names. The record is from RNAcentral. Lineage: Bacteria; Pseudomonadati; Pseudomonadota; Gammaproteobacteria; Enterobacterales; Enterobacteriaceae.